AAGAGUCCAAACCAGACACCUGAGGAAGAAAAACAGGUCAUCUCACUAAAUAGACCCAAAAGAAUAAUGGCAGCAUAAACAAGGAACUCCUGUUUCCGAAACAGUCCCCUGUCACACGCACAGCAGCUGAUCGAACAAAGAACCACAUUUGUACAUGCUCAGAGUGACACCAAUGAAUGCGCAUUACUACCAAAGCCUGGUGCUGCUGAAGAGGUGUCAUGUUCCUGUGAUGAAGAGCUGCAAGACGAGACUGGAGGAGGGAAAUCCUAG
Molecule: long non-coding RNA, 270 nt
Filed under: Apteryx rowi (Okarito brown kiwi)
Lineage: Eukaryota; Metazoa; Chordata; Aves; Apterygiformes; Apterygidae
Description: lncRNA (ENSARWG00000015151.1)
Source: RNAcentral